GUCGAGAAUCUUUCACAAUGGGGGCAACCCUGAUGGAGCGACGCCGCGUGGAGGAUAAGGUCUUCGGAUUGUAAACUCCUGUCAUGCGUGAACAAGGUUGCUUGGUUAAUACCUGGGCAAAUUGAUGGUAGCGCAAGAGGAAGAGACGGCUAACUCUGUGCCAGCAGCCGCGGUAAUACAGAGGUCUCAAGCGUUGUUCGGAAUCACUGGGCGUAAAGGGUGCGUAGGUGGCGUGGCAAGUCAGAUGUGAAAGCCCGGGGCUCAACCUCGGAACUGCAUCCGAUACUGCCAUGCUAGAGUACUGGAGGGGUGACUAGAAUUCUCGGUGUAGCAGUGAAAUGCGUAGAUAUCGAGAGGAAUACCAAAGGCGUAGGCAGGUCACUGGACAGUUACUGACACUGAGGCACGAAGGCCAGGGGAGCGAACGGGAUUAGAUACCCCGGUAGUCC
This 449-nucleotide ribosomal RNA is filed under the name uncultured bacterium. RNAcentral describes it as "partial 16S ribosomal RNA". It matches the Rfam family "Bacterial small subunit ribosomal RNA", at positions 354 to 796 of the family's 1533-position model. The record is from RNAcentral.